This is a long non-coding RNA of Cyprinus carpio carpio, 671 nucleotides long. Lineage: Eukaryota; Metazoa; Chordata; Actinopteri; Cypriniformes; Cyprinidae. The record is from Ensembl.
AGAUAAUUAGUUCACUUUGCAGUCAGCCUAAGCACUAUAAAUAAGCCACAGGUAAGCUGUCUGUGUGUAGUACAAUGGAAGGAGCAGUAAGAGUGAGAAGAGUGAGAAUCAGAGGAGGCCGAGGGAGAGGACGUGGAGUUGAAGAAGCGAGAGGGUUAGAGGAAGUUAGAGGUAGAGGACAAGGAGGAGCAAGAAGAGGACGAGGAGGGGAAAGAGGAAGGGUAAGAAGAGUAAGAAAUAGAAUAACUGAUGACAUCAGAGCUACAAUAGUGGACCAUGUCAUCAACCAUGGGAUGACCCUGAGGGAAGCUGGCCAACGGGUUCAGCCUAAUUUGAGCCGCUACACUGUGGCAAGCAUCAUUAGGACAUUUCGAAACGAGAAUCGGUAAGUACUUUGUAGCACUGCCAUACUCUAAUGAGAAACACAACAGUACCAUACAUGCAAAAAUACUGAAAUUGUUACUUUACAGAAUUGCUAGACGUCCAGAUGUUGGGGGCAGAGGAAGAAUGUUCACUCCAGAGCAAGAGACCCAUAUAGUGAACAUGGUGAUUGCCAAUAAUGCAAUAAGACUGCGCGAAAUACAGCAGCACAUAAUUGAUAAUGACACCAUCUUUCAAAAUAUACACAGUGUAAGCAUUUCUGCACUAAGUCGUGUACUUGCGUGCCACAG